This 254-nucleotide ribosomal RNA is filed under the name uncultured bacterium. RNAcentral's name for it is "partial 16S ribosomal RNA". It matches the Rfam family "Bacterial small subunit ribosomal RNA", at positions 524 to 776 of the family's 1533-position model. The record is from RNAcentral.
UACGGAGGGUGCAAGCGUUGUCCGGAUUUAUUGGGUUUAAAGCGCGUGUAGGCGGAAGGGCACGUCUGGUGCUGAAAUCCCCCGGCUCAACCGGGGAACGGGCACGGAUACGACUCUUCUGGAGGAACGUAGGGGGACCUGGAACUUCCGGUGGAGCGGUGAAAUGCGUUGAGACCGGAAGGAACGCCCGUGGCGAAAGCGAGGUCCUGGACGUUUACUGACGCUGAGACGCGAAAGCCAGGGGAGCGAACGGG